This is a non-coding RNA of Chishuiella changwenlii, 74 nucleotides long. Lineage: Bacteria; Pseudomonadati; Bacteroidota; Flavobacteriia; Flavobacteriales; Weeksellaceae. The record is from Rfam.
GGCCGAGUGGCGCAACUGAAUAGCGCACUUGAUUACGGCUCAAGAGGUUACAGGUUUGAAUCCUGUCUCGGUCA